CAUUUAUUAGAUAAAAAGCCAAUGCAUGCUUUUACAGUAUGAAAAUUGGUGAUUUAUAAUAACUUAGCAAAUCGCAAAGUGAAAACAGGCGAUAAAUCAUUCAAGUUUCUGACCUAUCAGCUUUCGACGGUAUGGUAUUGGCUUACCGUGGCAGUGACGGUUAACGGGGGAUUAGGGUUCGAUUCCGGAGAGGGAGCCUGAGAAACGGCUACCACAUCUAAGGAAGGCAGCAGGCGCGCAAAUUACCCAAUUCUAACAGUUUGAGAGAGGUAGUAACAAGAAAUAACAAUACAAGGCAGUUAAAAUGCUUUGUAAUUGGAAUGAUAGAAAUUUAAACCCUUUUUAAAGUAUCAAUUGGAGGGCAAGUCUGGUGCCAGCAGCCGCGGUAAUUCCAGCUCCAAUAGCGUAUAUUAAAAUUGUUGCAGUUAAAAAGCUCGUAGUUGAAGUUCUGCUAAAAGUAACCGGUCUGCUUUUAAUAAAGGUGGUAUCUUGGUGUGUAUUUAGCAAUGAUGUCCUUUGAAGUGUUUUUUACUUUUUUGUAAUAAAGCAUAUUCAGGACUUUUACUUGAGAAAAUUAGAGUG
Molecule: ribosomal RNA, 582 nt
Filed under: Hepatozoon canis
Lineage: Eukaryota; Apicomplexa; Hepatozoidae
Description: SSU rRNA
Rfam family: Eukaryotic small subunit ribosomal RNA
Source: RNAcentral